Molecule: long non-coding RNA, 3095 nt
Organism: Coturnix japonica (Japanese quail)
Lineage: Eukaryota; Metazoa; Chordata; Aves; Galliformes; Phasianidae
Source: Ensembl
UGCUUGAGUCCUGCAGAUUUCAAACGUUCUUGAAACUUCCCCCUGAGCAGGAGCACCAGCACCUUAGGCUCGGCACAGAGACCAUCCCGGAUGCUCGUUGGGCUAUAAAAGUAAAGAGGAGGAACAAAGAGAAUUUUAAAAAGAAAAAUAUCCCAAAAAAGAAGUAGAAAAGAGAGAAAAAGUAACUUCCCUGACCGGGAAUCGAACCCGGGCCGCGGCGGUGAGAGCGCCGAAUCCUAACCACUAGACCACCAGGGAUCUACGUACAGCAUUUGUAAUUUGUUUAUCAAGACCUUAUCAGCUCGCCACGUCAUUACCCUGUUGUAUUUUCCUUUUGUUCUCCUUCUUCCGGACAGUACCACGCUUCGGAGGCAGGCGAGCGUGCGGAAGGAACCUUCCAUUCCAACCCAUGGAAGGGGAGCGGCGGGGAGAGAAGCGGAACUCGCUUGGCCCCGAGUCGAGUGCUGUGACGGGCCCUCGCCCUAGGCGAGCUGGUUGGCAGCCCGAGCGACCGCCAGCGGCUGCGGGUGGAAGGAGCCGGGCUUUCUCAUUCUAGGGGGCUCCUUCCGAAGAGAAGGGACCCCAAGCAGUGCAAGCCUUCAAGCUGGGUAGAGGAGCUGGGCCGCUGGCACCUGGGAUGAGAGCCUUUAAAGCACUUUGUGCUGUGCCGUCUGCUGCGUGUACAGUAUUCCCCCAGUGGCAGCAGGCUGGUGCCUGAUGGAUGGGUUUCUUCUGUCCAGAGGAAAACGUUGCAUGAAUAUUUAUGUCCUUAAAAGAGGAGAGAAGGCCUUGUCAGCGAAGUGCCAGGAACAUAGACUGAGGACGAGUUGCCUGGGAGAGAGGAGGUUCCAGCUGCAUCGUGUGUUCUGAAAGAAACUCGAGGGAGCAGAAUGUUCCCUGGUGUCUGGUCCGUAGGAAAAUGCCGAUCCAGAGGCACACUGAGUGAAACCUGCAGCUCCAAAAUGGGAACCAGGUGGACAGUUCUCUGUUCUGUGUUGGCAGGCAGCAGCAGCAGGGGGCAGACUCCACGACCUCCAGGAAAGUGGCACUGGGAGUCAGAUGUUUUCUAGUUGUUUUUAGGAAAGGCUUUCACUUCCCUGCAAGUCAUGUGCCCUGACAAAAGAUUACACCUCUUCUCUGGAUUCCUGCGUCCGACAGAGAAACCCCUCCGUGCAGUUGUCAGCAGUUCUUCCUCCUGCUUGUGGGGACGUAGCUGCAGCUGUGCCUGCAUCCCGUGAUACCAGCUGGAGAGGAAUAAUCAUCUGAGAGCAACAGGGGAGGAGGGAUGUCACAGGCUGGUGCUCCUUGUCACCUGAUGUGGCGGGAUAGCUCUUUGUCGGUUAGGCCAAGUGAAUAGCACUCAGUGUCAGGGGUACCACACCCCAGCUUUCAGAGAUGAGUAAUUAAAGCUGAAUUCUGGAACCUAAAAAAUCAAAGCACUCACUUUAGCUGCAAGCUCUAAAGCAGCACACAAUUAACUUGUCUGUUCCAUAUGAAUAUAUUACAUUAUUAUUACUUUCAUUUGCCAGGUUAAUUAAUGUGUGACAGCAGGUUUGCUGCAUAAAAAUGAGUAAGAAUAACAUCAAAGCAAUCUGUUAAUUUACUCAAGUCUUUUAUUUGGUUAUGUUUCCGCUACAUAAUGGUAAGUACAAAUUGUCUUUAGUACCUAGAGUACCCAAUCCGGUAGUAGGUGAAGUCCUGUAUCUGAGCAGACACUGUAAUCAUUAUUUAUAAUUACAUGCAAUAUGUGCAUUUAUCACUUCUCUCUUUCCCCAGCUGUUUAUUUGAGCUGGAAAGUCUUGGCAUCAGCUUUUCUUAUUUAAAUUAGCCUGGUUUAAAAUGUGCAUCAUCCCAGUGUUGGGGAGGUGAAAAUGAAAGGGAAGGAAAAGAUUCUGCACAGACUGAUGCGUUUUUAUGUUUAAUAUCCAUGUAUAGUCAGAAGGAUUGCCUAACUGUUAGAUUAUAAUCAUGUUCUUGGGGGAGAGAAGUUGCAGUUUAGAUUUCUUAAAGCUGCUUUCUUCGUGGCAGUGUUUGAUGGAACGAAUCUAAAGGAAGUCUUGAAAGAUGUUUCCCAGUUCUUACAGCAGUUCUGAUACUCCUAGCUCCAAGAUCAUUGGAGUAAGGAAGGCGAAUUGCCCUGUCCUCUUGUAGUUUAAUUUCAGUAAUGCUAGGGGGCAGUAUGAGAGAAUUUGCAUCGUCAUGUUUUCAUACUUUGUAAACCAGUUAUUUAUUGUUUAUAGAAAGCACUGUAAAGAUUCUGAGGAAAAAUAGGGGAGAAACUCACCAGCAAUACUGUUAUAAAUAAUCUUGCAAGUUCUACUACUGCUUCCCUUGUUCUUCCAUUCCUCCCCUGACACUGCAUUUGAUCCAGGGAUACCAAGGUCAGCUUUUCCUCUUGCCUCUGUUAAAAUAUGAUAUUGGGGUCUGGGCUAAGGCAUGGCAGUGGGUGCUUCAUCAACUGUCCACUGAGCUCAGCAAAAAACCUUAUUUGAGAGAAAUACAGUUUUGUUCUUAUCUCCCUCUGUAUCUAAGUAAAUCCUUUUCUCAGUCUCCUCUGCAGAGCCUUUUGGAAGCACCUUCUAGUUUAAUCCACUUGGCAGUAGUAACUGGAGGACAAUAUCAGUUAUGAGGGGAGCAGUUCUUGCAAAUUUUUUUAAGCUCUGCUCUCUGUCUCAUUUUUGGGAAAUGUGUAGAAAUUUUCCAUAUCCCGACCUGCUAAAUUGAUUUAGAUCUACACAAUUCAUUCAAAUUCAGACAGGAAGAUCCGCAAAACUCCUCUUGGCCUAAACUGCAGAAACCAGGCUAAAAAUAGUGAUGUGUUGUAAGGGAAGUCAGCCCCUGGUGCAUGGUAGGAUCAAGCAGAGACUCAGUUAGGAAGAAGUCUGUCUGUAUCAAAGCUAUUUUAUGACUGUUUUGUAGUGGAAAAAGUUGUAAAAAUUCUUGGGGGGGAACACUCAACAACAGAGUGACUGCUAGUAGGAAUAGAAAACAUCCAUCUCAUGUUUAUACCUUUUCACAACUGGACUGUUAGGAUAUUCUUUAGUAAUUCUUUAUUGAGUGUUACCAUCCUUAAAUAAAUGGGCAGUAAGGCAACA